UGAUGCUGAUGAUCAGGGGAGCCUUGUAAAUCACCUGUUGCAUAUAGUCAAGGCAAGGGGUUGAAGGAGCCAGAUUCUUGAAUCACCAUUUGGAGAAGAGCCACCUGCUGCUCAGGAACCCCCAUGCUGGACUUGGCUCAUGUGAUGGCGUUCAGCCCACUGGGUAAUCCAGGACAACUUCUCCAUCUCAAGACCCAGCAUUUAAUUGCCUCUACACCUGCCUUUUGACAUGGAAGUGAAUAUAUUGAUAGUUUCUCGGGUUUACAGCUUGACUUUCUUUGGAGGACUGUUACUCUGCCUACCACAGAAGUCACAGACAAAGCAGUUCAGAGACAUCACCAACAAACAUGAAGAAAGGAAGAUCGCAGAGAAAUGUUGCUUGAACCAAGUUGUGGGGGAUGUGAGGCGUUUACCAGCCAGUGCAGAUCCAGCUUUGAAUCAUUUGUCUUAAACAAUCGUUUCUGAACUUAAGCUGAGCAGUGAUUCUUUAAAUGGAAAGCCACAACCACCUGCCUUAACCUAAGUGAGUGUUCCAGGAGGGAGGAACCUGUGUCUUCUUUGUAAUGUUUGUCCUGAUCCUGGGACUGGGCCAGGCACACAUUAUUAAUGGAACACAUACUGGGAGCCCUGCAUGGCACUGAGUUGUGUGGAUUGAAAUAAUCUAUGCUGAAGACAGGACUUUUCUACAGGAGGCAAAGUUUCCCACCUCCUGGAUAUGCUUAAGGCUAAAGUCAUGUCACGCCUCAAGGAGUGCAUGGAUGACAUUCUCUGACCAGGCAGCUACGACAAACUUCUGGCAUCUCAGAUCCUCCAUUAGCCACUCAUACACGGGAAAGCUAACCUCAAGUCUGGCUCCAUCACUGUUGGGAGAAAAGCUCGAUUGCAUUCUCAAGCAGCCGGCUAAACACAACUGUGCUCCUGACUGUAACAGGGACAGGAGGGCCAGUGUGAAAUUCGGACCUUUGGAGGAAAGAAUGCAUACAUUUAAAAUGAAUAAACAGACUUCUUCUAUCUUCUUCCCACUGGCAACGCAUCUGAAGGCCUUGACUCAGCACUAGUGGGCCUUUACUGCUCAUGCUUGCCCAGCCCUCUCGGCGGUGAUUGAUUUCAUUGUUGGCUGUUUUCACUAUGUGAAUGUGGGAUCUUUGGAGAGCCUAAUUCUUUGCAAGUUCCAUUGGAGGGUGGAAGCGCUAGAACAAGCCAUAACCAGUCGAAGGCCCAGUGACUCAGGAGCUUAAGCAUUUAACUAAUUAGCACAGAAGAAUGUGACAAAGAUUUGCAGUUAAUAAGAAUGAAAGAAGAAUCAUUGGGGCCUGAAUUAUGCAAGCUUCUAUUUCCUUUUGGGACCAUAUAGGAAUUUCAGGAGAAGAAAGGCUACCUUUUACCUUUGAGGAAUUUUCAGAGUAAUUUCUUUUUAAUUGGUGACUGACAAAGGGAACAAUUUCAACACCUCAGAAAAAUGCCUCAUCAUUUCCUCUUGUGAAACCUGGGUGCUUUUGAAUGAAUUCAUGUUAGGAAUGAGGAUCCCAAUCCAUGAGGGUCAUUUUUAACCGAAAGCCGCUAUCAAAUGUUAGUGGUGGUUAGAAAAAACAGAACACUUGUCUUCCGUGAGCAUCCUAUGACCUAUCUUUAUCCUUCGAAGCCAAGAAAAUGUAAUAAAUGAGAGCACAGUCUUUUGCCAAAUAUGUUAAAAUCCCAGCUCAAUCUCUUCCUAGUUACAGGACUGUCCUCUCUGAGCCUCAGUUUUCUCAUCUCUGAAAUGGGACUAAUUACAUCUACUUCCCAAGGGGGUUCUAAGGAUUAAAUAACAACCUGUGAAAAAUGUUUAAUCUGGUGUCAGGCACACAAUAUUCACUUAAUGCCAUGGUUGUUAUUAUUAACAAAAAAUAAAAGAAAGAGAAAAUGCACACU
Long non-coding RNA from Hyaena hyaena (striped hyena), 1911 nucleotides. RefSeq lists it as uncharacterized. NCBI's taxonomy places the organism in Eukaryota, Metazoa, Chordata, Mammalia, Carnivora, Hyaenidae. The transcript has 6 exons. The record is from RefSeq and is a predicted model, not a curated record.